Molecule: ribosomal RNA, 209 nt
Filed under: uncultured bacterium
Lineage: Bacteria
Description: partial 16S ribosomal RNA
Rfam family: Bacterial small subunit ribosomal RNA
Source: RNAcentral
GCCUCCCUCGCCGCCAUCAGACUCCUACGGGGGCAGCAGUAAGGAAUAUUGGUCAAUGGACGCAAGUCUGAACCAGCCAUGCCGCGUGGAGGAUGAAGGCCCUCUGGGUUGUAAACUUCUUUUAUUUGGAAGAAACCAUCUUUCUAAGGUGGUUGACGGUACCAGACGAAUAAGCACCGGCUAACUCCGUGCCAGCCGCCGCGUAAUAC